AUGGCGGUAGCGGCGGCGCAGCUCCGUGGAUCGUCCACGGUCGCUCGGAGGCAUGGAGUCUUCAGAGUCCCCUCCUCCUGCCGGUGGCCACGUCACCCUUUCGCUGGUUCACUAAAGCUUUCAGUUUCUACCAGUGGAGUGGGUGGGAAGCCGUUUGGUUUUGGUGCCAAAAUUGCAACAAAAUGUGCAAAUGAGAACACUCGGGCUGAAGAGUUGAACUCGAGAUCAGAUCAAGCAGGCGAACUUGUAGAAGCAGUUGAAGACGUGACUCCCCAAAAGAGGAGUGCUAAAAUCCAUGAUUUUUGUUUUGGGAUUCCUUUCGGUGGUCUUUUGUUCUGCAUGGGGCUUCUAGGCUACUUCUUCUCUAGGAGUACUGUAAGUCUUGUCCUAGGUGUUGCACCUGGGCUUGCUACGCUCCUUCUUGGUACCCUCAGUUUAAACUUCUGGAGGAGUGGAAGAUCCAGCUUCCUGUUUAUAUUGGGCCAAGCAGCAAUUUCUGCUGUCCUUGCAUGGAAGUAUUCCCAUGCAUACUUACUGACAAAUAGAAUUCUUCCUUGGGGCUUCUACGCUUCACUGAGCACUGCGAUGGCUUGUUUCUAUGCGUACGUGCUGCUUGCUGGAGGAAAUCCACCGCCCAAGAAGUUGGCGCCGGCACCAUCAUCAUAG
This 666-nucleotide ribosomal RNA is filed under the name Triticum aestivum (bread wheat). RNAcentral's name for it is "partial small subunit ribosomal RNA". The record is from RNAcentral. Lineage: Eukaryota; Viridiplantae; Streptophyta; Magnoliopsida; Poales; Poaceae.